CUACGGGGUGCACCAGUGGGGAAUAUUGCACAAUGGAGGAAACUCUGAUGCAGCAACGCCGCGUGGAGGAUGACACUUUUCGGAGCGUAAACUCCUUUUAUAUAGGAAGAAGAUGACGGUACUAUAUGAAUAAGCGCCGGCUAACUCUGUGCCAGCAGCCGCGGUAAUACGGAGGGCGCAAGCGUUACUCGGAAUCACUGGGCGUAAAGAGCGUGUAGGCGGAUUAAAAAGUCAGAAGUGAAAUCCUAUAGCUUAACUAUAGAACUGCUUCUGAAACUCUUAAUCUAGAAUAUGGGAGAGGUAGAUGGAAUUUCUGGUGUAGGGGUAAAAUCCGUAGAGAUCAGAAGGAAUACCGAUUGCGAAGGCGAUCUACUAGAACAUUACUGACGCUGAGACGCGAAAGCGUGGGGAGCAAACAGGAUUAGAUACCCUCGUAGUC
This 439-nucleotide ribosomal RNA is filed under the name uncultured bacterium. Its description in RNAcentral is "partial 16S ribosomal RNA". It matches the Rfam family "Bacterial small subunit ribosomal RNA", at positions 339 to 795 of the family's 1533-position model. The record is from RNAcentral.